UCAUCCAGUACCGGAGAGAGAGAUGCCAUC
Molecule: non-coding RNA, 30 nt
Filed under: Homo sapiens (human)
Lineage: Eukaryota; Metazoa; Chordata; Mammalia; Primates; Hominidae
Source: RNAcentral